CAGUCGCCGCGGUAAUACGGAGGGUGCAAGCGUUAAUCGGAAUUACUGGGCGUAAAGCGCACGCAGGCGGUCUGACAAGUCAGAUGUGAAAUCCCCGGGCUUAACCUGGGAACUGCAUUUGAAACUGUCAGGCUGGAGUCUUAUAGAGGGGGGUAGAAUUCCAGGUGUAGCGGUGAAAUGCGUAGAGAUCUGGAGGAAUACCGGUGGCGAAGGCGGCCCCCUGGACAAAGACUGACGCUCAGGUGCGAAAGCGUAGGGAGCAAACAGGAUUAGAUACCCGUGUAGUCCCUGUCUCUUAUAC
This 301-nucleotide ribosomal RNA is filed under the name uncultured bacterium. Its description in RNAcentral is "partial 16S ribosomal RNA". It matches the Rfam family "Bacterial small subunit ribosomal RNA", at positions 509 to 807 of the family's 1533-position model. The record is from RNAcentral.